Molecule: small RNA, 108 nt
Filed under: Mycobacterium tuberculosis
Lineage: Bacteria; Bacillati; Actinomycetota; Actinomycetes; Mycobacteriales; Mycobacteriaceae
Also listed under: 1 other name
Description: partial RtT sRNA
Rfam family: RtT RNA
About the family: This family represents a bacterial cis-regulatory element known as RtT RNA.
Source: RNAcentral
GAUUCGAACCUGCAGCAGGUUCGGGUCGAACGCAGUGAGACAACGGAGCCGCUUGCGGCGACGGCCCGAAGGGCGAGGCGAAGCCGAGUCAUCCUGCACGACCCACCA